RNAcentral lists this ribosomal RNA (490 nucleotides) under uncultured bacterium. RNAcentral's name for it is "partial 16S ribosomal RNA". It matches the Rfam family "Bacterial small subunit ribosomal RNA", at positions 29 to 507 of the family's 1533-position model. The record is from RNAcentral.
AGUGAACGCUGGCGGUAGGCCUAACACAUGCAAGUCGAACGGCAGCACAGGAGAGCUUGCUCUCUGGGUGGCGAGUGGCGGACGGGUGAGGAAUACAUCGGAAUCUACCUUUUCGUGGGGGAUAACGUAGGGAAACUUACGCUAAUACCGCAUACGACCUACGGGUGAAAGUGGGGGACCGCAAGGCCUCACGCGAUUAGAUGAGCCGAUGUCCGAUUAGCUAGUUGGCGGGGUAAUGGCCCACCAAGGCGACGAUCGGUAGCUGGUCUGAGAGGAUGAUCAGCCACACUGGAACUGAGACACGGUCCAGACUCCUACGGGAGGCAGCAGUGGGGAAUAUUGGACAAAGGGCGCAAGCCUGAUCCAGCCAUACCGCGUGGGUGAAGAAGGCCUUCGGGUUGUAAAGCCCUUUUGUUGGGAAAGAAAUCCUGUCGAUUAAUACUCGGUGGGGAUGACGGUACCCAAAGAAUAAGCACCGGCUAACUUCGUG